Theobroma umbraticum is the source of this 1226-nucleotide long non-coding RNA. RefSeq lists it as uncharacterized. NCBI's taxonomy places the organism in Eukaryota, Viridiplantae, Streptophyta, Magnoliopsida, Malvales, Malvaceae. The record is from RefSeq and is a predicted model, not a curated record.
CUACCUCUCUGCUUCUUGCCUCUUUCUUUUCUCUUGCGCGUCUAUAACAUCAACUGUUGAGGGGAAUGUUGUCUGGUUCGAAGUCAUUCAUAUGAAUCUUAAAUGUCUUCUGAAUGAUUUCGGACCAGGCUUCAUUCCCCCCAACUUGUUUUAAUGGCUAUAUAUUUGCUCAGCUUAACGAAGUAUAUGCAUAUAUGCUCAUUUGAUGCAAAUACAGAAGGAAGAGUUUGAAUCAAGAAAUAUUAAGCCAAUGAUCGGACAGGCCAAAAUUUGGCAACCUGGAAUUGGAAACAGGUAAAUUUGAAGGUAGAAUUUCAUAUCCUCUUUUCAUGGUUUUUUUCCUCCCUUGUCAUAAACUGUUGAGUCAAUGUGAACAGAUUACUGCAAAAAUUCGGUCUUCUUCAAUCUCUUUGGUUUGUUCAUAUUUUUGGGAUUUGGAGUGUUGAUUGUGGGAUGUGGACUUUGCUUGCAGAGACUUGCAAAGAAUAAAAGUUACUAGAACUUUGUGUGCUGUCCCUUUAGUUUUAUGUAUGUGGGAUGGAGAGAGAGAUUAAAAGGGUACUUUAAAUUUGCCUCAUUUUAUCCCUUCAGAAUUCAACAAAACAACUUCUUUGUACGUGCCAAACUAUAUCUACCUGGUGGGGUAGAUAUAUUAACUCUUGGUGGGUCAAAUGAACAUGAAAAAACCAAAACUUUUCCAUGUGAAGAUCAUAAUUCUGUGGGUCAGGUCUGCCCCGCCGGGGUUGUCAAAAUGUUGAGCGACUGUAGCUACAUGGCUGCAGCUACUGAGUUUUGAGCGUUUGUCAGAAGGCAAAAAAAAAAAGGAAUUGCAGAAGGUUCAUCUUAUCUCCUUGAGCUGAAGAGAAGACGCGCUUGCAGUUUGUAAAAGAUGAGAUGAAGACAAUAACAAAGGAUUUGAUAGGACUUGAGAGAUGGAGAUUGGAGAUCAAAGAUUACAAAGUGAAAAAAGGGAGGGGAGCCACCAUAGGGCCUUGUCUGCAUAUGUGUCUCCCAUGUUGUGAUAACUUUUUCCAUGCACCAAAGGAGGGCUACAUCCCCUUACUGCCUAAGCCUCUAAAGUCAUGCACUACAUGUUGUAGCAGUGAAAAUCUAUCUCUUUUCUCCUUUUUCCUUUUCCCCUUCUGUUAUUGUUCCUCAUGUUAGAUUAUGUCCCCAUCUACUACAUGUCAUCUUAUAAUUAAUUAAAUUUAGGUUAACUUUCUGUU